Molecule: long non-coding RNA, 232 nt
Organism: Daktulosphaira vitifoliae (grape phylloxera)
Lineage: Eukaryota; Metazoa; Arthropoda; Insecta; Hemiptera; Phylloxeridae
Exons: 3
Source: RefSeq, a predicted model, not a curated record
AAAACAUUUUCAUUGAUAUUUAUUUUUAUUUAAUUUUUAUAAUAAUAAAAUUUUUUAAUUGUGUUUUAACACUCUUUUUUUAUAUUAAGAACCACCUAACGUUGAGAAGAACUCUAGUGAAGAAUACCAUUUGGCUAAAGAAGAACCUAAAGUUGAGAAGAAAUUAAAAAUAGUGAUAACGGAAGAGGAAGACUUUGUAAGCAGUGAUUCUAUUGAAGAAUACUACGAGGCU